Molecule: microRNA, 22 nt
Filed under: Acyrthosiphon pisum (pea aphid)
Lineage: Eukaryota; Metazoa; Arthropoda; Insecta; Hemiptera; Aphididae
Description: api-miR-3051
Source: miRBase by way of RNAcentral
AAGGAACGUUAAAAACCAUUGU